AUUUGAGUAGUUUAUGGAAAAUAUUGAUUUGUGGUGUCAAUGAAGUGAUAAAAUCACCUCAGAUC
RNAcentral lists this transfer RNA (65 nucleotides) under Elimaea berezovskii. RNAcentral describes it as "tRNA-His". Lineage: Eukaryota; Metazoa; Arthropoda; Insecta; Orthoptera; Tettigoniidae. The record is from RNAcentral.